UCCUACGAACCCCUGACUUACAUAACAGCACGACUAUGCGUGCUAAGUUGGAUCUGCUUUACGGUCCUAACUUCGCUAUAACGUCGACUCAUAUUAAUCCGCGUUAUUGAUUAUUUACCGUUCUCGCUGUCGACAUAUAAACUGUGGCAUUCUUUCAGUAUCCUCUCACUCGGUGUGGUGAUCGCAGACUCCAGAGGGUUUGCCACAGACCGGAGCUUUCUGCCCGACAUUGCGACCACAGCCACCAGCCGCCUCGCUGCUGUUUCUUAAGCCAUCAGCGGAAGGGUUUCAGUGUUGCACAAGGGCUCCCGUGUGCGGAUGAAGCGACUUCUUGCGGUCAAACAGUGACACGACAGCGAGGACAGACUCAUCAUGAGCAGGCAACAGGUUACUUUUCAAGGACUUGAACCUUGGACCUGCCUCAAUUGUUUGUCUGCCGGUUUAUUGUUUUUAUUGGACACAUGACCAGGACUAAGAUGUCUGCAGAUGGAAAUCAAAUGAUGUUGUUGAUGGAUCACGUACUAAAAAAGUACUUUCUCCUUCCUAACUCUGACAGACCAUAUUAUUAAGUCCAGCCAGUUAUAAUCAGGGCCAUCAACAUUGAUCUGGUUGGAUUGGACCUGCCUGGUUUGGUCAUGUAUGAUGGAGCUAUCUGGAGUUAUGCAUUUGUUGACAGAGCCAUGGUCUGUUUGGAGACCACUAACAAGGUUCCUUGCAGAAAAUGAGCCGUACAAAGUUGUCAUAAAUCUGAUGACAGCAAUGUGCUUUCACUACGCUGUGAGUGUGAGCAUGAAACAUUAAAUGUUGUUGACCAGUCUUCUCCUCAAACUGUCCGGAUAGACGUUUAGAGGAGCUGGCAGAGACCAGUGCAGACAGACUGGGAGCCAUCACAUCUGCUGCUGGUGUGAUGCUAGUGAUUGUCGCAGCAGGUGAGAUGGUAUAGACAUCCUGACGGGGCUUCAGUUCCACAGCUCUAGCUUACAACACAAGGUGCAGGAAACGGAGACACGCUUGCUGCAUCUGGCCAGAGCGGGGGAGAAAAAGGGGUGACAUUCAAAACACAGAUCAACACCUUUCUGCCACUGAGUUAUGUAAAUCCCUCCGCUAUGUCUCAGCGGAAGGAUGAAUGUGACUCAUCAGUUACGGAUGAAAUUGAUUUUCACUCUUCACUCUCAAACCAAUUUUCACUGAGAUUUUCUGCCCACAAGCACUCAAACCUUUACGUAACAGAAAAUAGAGAGAGAGAGAACACACAUCAAAACAAUGCUAAUUAUGAGUGAGAAAGAAAACACACGACCCUAUUUUUUUUUUUCUUCAAUUUCAUAACAUUUCACAAACAUUUUGUAUCUUGACCAUAAGAAAGAGCGCUAAAUUCAUACAAUCAAACAAACGUGCCUGGAUUAGAGUUAAAGAUGCAAACCUAAAUGAGACUAUGGAGGUUGUCGGGGACAUUAAACAUAUUAUUUUCAUCCUACUCUGCUAUUGUAAUGUCAGCUGCCCACUUGUGACAUCAAAGCUUUAUUACGGUCAUUUUUGGUCAGGAACAAAUGAGGGAUUAACUCAAGUAAUGGCUCGAUUAAAGAGAAAGUCCACCCAAAACCCCAAAAGAUAUUGUUAUUUAUUAUUGUUUUUGUUGUUUAUUUGUGUUGUGAACAUACAAGUGCCCGGCCCACAUGAACUUAGGCUACAUAAAAGACACCAAAAAUAACGUUGCAGUAGUGAAACAAUAUUUAUAAAACAUAUAAGCAUUACAUUUUAAACAGACAAACAUUUACCCUCUUGCUUCCUUUCUAAAACUUAACACUAGUCUUUUAUAAUUAACCAGAAGAAGACAUGCAGAGAUUAAGAACAUUUUACAUAUAAUUGCCAACAACACAUAUAUUUUUAUUUACAAUUUCAUCUACAUUCAUAUACAAAAUAAAGCCUAUUCCCUUCGGGUGAGACCAUUAAUACUUCCUGUUGCUGAGCACACAGAGAUCUGAUUUCAAUGAUAAUGGAGUCUAGUAGCUCAAACAUGUUUUGUUUUAUAUUACACACAAAUUAGGUUUUGUUUGGAAGGAGGGCUUCUAGCUGUGAAUCACAUGGUGUUCCUAGAGCUUCUCGUCACAUGUUUCUUUUAUCUGCUGUGUGUGGAGCAGCUCCAGGAUCGGUCUGAGGGUGACAUAAUCACUGCACACUGUCUGCUGCUCACACAACUGAAUUGUACAUUUUCAGGGAGUAACAGGAGUGGGAGUAGUAGGGAAUGUGUCGGUUCUAUUUUGUGGUGGGUUUUCACUUUCUGGUUUAAAUGGCCAGACUCUGGUGUGACUCAAUUCUUGCAGGAUCAAAAGUUUUUGGCCGGUGAACACUUUGGGUGUUACGUACAGAACAGCAUGCCCCUCAGAGUGAUUAUGAGCUGAUAUUGGCAUCAAUUAAGAGCAACUGAUGUUGACUUGUACUUGAGUUUAUAAAUGAGUUGUUCUGUCAUAGACCUAAAGUUAAUCAACACAUGUGACAACCAUUGAUGUGAUUGCACAUUAGGCCAGAAACAGAAAAAUGCAUUCAUCUUUUAAAACGGAAUCAAAUUUAAUUUAUUCUUUUAUGUUCUACUGACUUGACAAUAAACUUGGGAUGAAAGCACUUAAAGCAGGCCAUAUUUAUACAUUUUUAAUAUGAUAAUAACAGUAAUUUCAAAAUAUUUAAAUAUGUAAUACUGAAAAUACUAUUUCCAGGCAGUUGUAUGACUCAUGGUGUACUCUAGUAGUCUACAGUCUUCUGCUGAUCAUAAUGUUUUCUGGCACAUGAAUGGAGAACAUUGGAAUCAUGACUGUUUUGUAGGAAUGGAUUAAAACUAGGUAUCUCACAUAAAGUGUCCCAUUCAAUUCAUUUAGACAACAAGGGCUAAAUAUUAUUUCUGUAUUUGUGUCAGCAGACCCGUCUUAAGCCUCAAACCCAUUCAGGAAUGUGCUUUAACCAGUUAAUGAGUCUCCCCCCUGCAGCUGAGAUCAUACACUUCACCUUACAAUAGGCUGCCUUUAUAUUCGUGCUUCGACUGAAGUGGAACAUCCAUUAUAAAUGGUCCAUUCAAACAUUAUACCGGAGCUUCCCAGAAAUGAACUUCGAUGAGGAGUCUGUGCAACCAAAGAGAGAGGUGAGUUUGAAUCAACCCUCGAAAACCCUGUUAACAUCUUAGGAGGAGUUACUUUGUUUUGACCUGUAGCCAGUAAAUAUUUUUGCCAUCCGGACAUCCGAAGUCAUCAUUUUAUCACUGCGAUGACAUGUAUGUGGAGCAGUGGGAGGGUUUGCUGCAGAAAAGCAGGUGUUGGGGCUUAUUUUUUAUUUCUUCAUACAUUUUGUAUUGUUAUUCUUGUUGGAUGAUGCUCAAAUGAAUAGUAGUCGGUGCCAAAGUUAGUGUAAAGAAGAAUCAAAUGUAGUCUAAAAUCUAUGUGGUACCUCUUCUUAAUGAGACACUCUUUAUAAAGGGAUUAUAAGUUGUAAAACUUUAGUAAUGGUUAAUAUAUCAUUUGUAUUCAUGUUGUGAAGAUCCAGUAAUUAGAACAAGUCAGAUCCUUUGUAUUUGGUAAUAAUGCAGGUGUACAUAUUGGUUAAUGCUUAUUGCUUUCUUACAUUCAAAUUAUUCAUGUCUUCAGUUAUUAAUGUUAAUAAGCAGUUAACAAUUAGAUUUUCCAGAAUGUAUGCUAAUUUUCCCAGCAGGUCCAUCAGAGGUGUCUUCAUGAUGAAAAAGAUAAAACAGACAAUAAUAACAAAGAAUAUCAGGGUGCAUUUCAUGACCUUUGACAGCAUGUCUGAAUGCUCACUUCACUGACUGCUCUUCUGCUCUUCUAAUGUUUGAAACAUAGGUGGAGUCAACACAUCAUGUUUACUGCUCUGAAUUAGGCCACAACAUGUACGUCUGUAUCCAACAUCCUAUAGGCCUGUGUUGCACUUUCAUGAUAUUUAAGAUGCAUGGUUAAAACACAAGUUCAUAAUAAUAAUAAUAAAUGUAUAUAUUGAGUUAACAUUAGUCUUUUUUUUAUCUCCCUGGCCUCCUCUAUAGCUGAUAGGAAACCUCUGAUGCUGUUAUG
Long non-coding RNA from Anarrhichthys ocellatus (wolf-eel), 4064 nucleotides. RefSeq lists it as uncharacterized. The record is from RefSeq and is a predicted model, not a curated record. The transcript is spliced from 4 exons. Lineage: Eukaryota; Metazoa; Chordata; Actinopteri; Perciformes; Anarhichadidae.